This 847-nucleotide ribosomal RNA is filed under the name Bacillus subtilis. Its description in RNAcentral is "bacterial SSU rRNA". It matches the Rfam family "Bacterial small subunit ribosomal RNA", at positions 48 to 873 of the family's 1533-position model. Lineage: Bacteria; Bacillati; Bacillota; Bacilli; Caryophanales; Bacillaceae. The record is from RNAcentral.
UCUAUAAUGCAGUCGAGCGGACAGAUGGGAGCUUGCUCCCUGAUGUUAGCGGCGGACGGGUGAGUAACACGUGGGUAACCUGCCUGUAAGACUGGGAUAACUCCGGGAAACCGGGGCUAAUACCGGAUGCUUGUUUGAACCGCAUGGUUCAAACAUAAAAGGUGGCUUCGGCUACCACUUACAGAUGGACCCGCGGCGCAUUAGCUAGUUGGUGAGGUAACGGCUCACCAAGGCGACGAUGCGUAGCCGACCUGAGAGGGUGAUCGGCCACACUGGGACUGAGACACGGCCCAGACUCCUACGGGAGGCAGCAGUAGGGAAUCUUCCGCAAUGGACGAAAGUCUGACGGAGCAACGCCGCGUGAGUGAUGAAGGUUUUCGGAUCGUAAAGCUCUGUUGUUAGGGAAGAACAAGUGCCGUUCAAAUAGGGCGGCACCUUGACGGUACCUAACCAGAAAGCCACGGCUAACUACGUGCCAGCAGCCGCGGUAAUACGUAGGUGGCAAGCGUUGUCCGGAAUUAUUGGGCGUAAAGGGCUCGCAGGCGGUUUCUUAAGUCUGAUGUGAAAGCCCCCGGCUCAACCGGGGAGGGUCAUUGGAAACUGGGGAACUUGAGUGCAGAAGAGGAGAGUGGAAUUCCACGUGUAGCGGUGAAAUGCGUAGAGAUGUGGAGGAACACCAGUGGCGAAGGCGACUCUCUGGUCUGUAACUGACGCUGAGGAGCGAAAGCGUGGGGAGCGAACAGGAUUAGAUACCCUGGUAGUCCACGCCGUAAACGAUGAGUGCUAAGUGUUAGGGGGGUUUCCGCCCCUUUAGUGCUGCAGCUAACGCAUUAAGCACUCCGCCCUG